This 525-nucleotide ribosomal RNA is filed under the name uncultured bacterium. RNAcentral describes it as "partial 16S ribosomal RNA". It matches the Rfam family "Bacterial small subunit ribosomal RNA", at positions 355 to 895 of the family's 1533-position model. The record is from RNAcentral.
UGGGGAAUAUUGCACAAUGGGCGAAAGCCUGAUGCAGCAACGCCGCGUGAGUGAUGAAGGCCUUCGGGUUGUAAAGCUCUGUCUUUUGGGACGAUAAUGACGGUACCAAAGGAGGAAGCCACGGCUAACUACGUGCCAGCAGCCGCGGUAAUACGUAGGUGGCAAGCGUUGUCCGGAUUUACUGGGCGUAAAGGAUGCGUAGGCGGAUUUUUAAGUGAGAUGUGAAAUACCCGGGCUUAACUUGGGUGCUGCAUUUCAAACUGGGAAUCUAGAGUGCGGGAGAGGAGAAUGGAAUUCCUAGUGUAGCGGUGAAAUGCGUAGAAAUUAGGAGGAACACCAGUGGCGAAGGCGAUUCUCUGGACCGUAACUGACGCUGAGGCAUGAAAGCGUGGGUAGCAAACAGGAUUAGAUACCCUGGUAGUCCACGCCGUAAACGAUGAGUACUAGGUGUAGGAGGUAUCGACCCCUUCUGUGCCGCAGUUAACACAAUCAAGUACUCCGCCUGGGAAGUACGAUCGCAAGAUU